Acanthopagrus latus (yellowfin seabream) is the source of this 1333-nucleotide long non-coding RNA. RefSeq lists it as uncharacterized. Lineage: Eukaryota; Metazoa; Chordata; Actinopteri; Spariformes; Sparidae. The record is from RefSeq and is a predicted model, not a curated record. The transcript is spliced from 4 exons.
AGAGAAAGGAACCGCUUUGUCAUUGCACGUGCUUCUUGUUAAACAAAUCACUCCUCUAUUCUCGACCGUGAUUCGCUUUUUUUCUCCCCCCCUUUUUUUUUCGUGGGGAUUGAUGCACAAGCGAAGGUGCAGCCAAGUGUGCCACCAGAAAGUUUACCGCGGGAGAUGGCGAUGCUAGCAAGCAGAAGAGGCGGGCUGAGGAUGAGCGCGAUGUUUGAACCCUGAGCUUCGCAAAAUCCCGUCAGCAAAAAUCCUGACAAAACCAAUCAUGAGCUGUGGUGGUCCCGUGGCACCAGCCAUUCGUCCUUCCACAGACACGCUGACUAGGCCAGCCCGGGCUCAGGUGGCGGUGAUGCACCUCGACACGGGUUUCCACUCGCCAUAAAGCAGGAAAAAGAAGACAACGCAGUGAGACACACUCUCACAGAUGAGAGUGAGACAUGUCUACCAGCAAUCCCCUACCAACCCCCCCAAAAGUUUGCUAGCCAGUGUGGGAGACAUUUUUUUUUAUUAUUUUUUUAACAUUUUUUUUUAAAUCAAACAGGCCGAUUCAAGUACAUGUUUUUGAGAGGGGCCAGAUUCUAAAAAAAAAUAAAUAAAGUGAAGAGCCAAGGGGCCGGACUUCUUACAUUCCCUAUGUCUGAUCUGUUAAGCGUGGAAAUUAAAAUAAACUAUACACAUAAUUCCGGCUAAAACAUUCACUUUUAUAACCUAAGAAGUAAUUCAGCUAAAUUCCCCUCACUUAAACGGCCUGUGUUAAAACUUUUUAAUGAAAUAACAAGAAUCUUUGUGCUUGGCAACAGGCUUAACUGACAAAUGGGCUAAUUAACCUAAUGAUUAAAGGGCCAGAAUGAGGUUGUUAAAGGGCCACAAGUUGAACGGGUCUACUGUGAACUGUGACUUUGACAAAUGUUUUUUUUUUCUUUUUUUUUUUCUUUUUUUCAGUUUGUCUGUCGAUUAUUGCAUUACUAUCAUUAUCGCACAUUUGGGCCCUUGUCUAUACAUGUGAUAUUUCAUGUAAUGUCAAAAUAAGUCCCACUUAAAUCAGUUCGGUGUUGCUUGGUUUAACUAUUUCACAAAUGGAUAUUUUUUGUAUAAAUGCAGUAAAUAAAAACUUUCUAAAAGCAUUCUAAAGCCAUCGCAUGCAAAAGUAAAGGGUUUAAUUAAAAGAAUUUGGACGAUAACGUAAUUAUAGUAUGGUAGUUAUCAUUAAUAAAUGGUAAAUUAAUAGUUAAUUCAUCUCUAGUUAAUUAUUGUGUCACAAUAGAAAUUGAUUAUUGUAAAGUAGUAAGUGUUGUUUAUAAUACCUUGUAUCUAGUUGAUAAAUAUUGUA